Molecule: ribosomal RNA, 360 nt
Filed under: Triticum aestivum (bread wheat)
Lineage: Eukaryota; Viridiplantae; Streptophyta; Magnoliopsida; Poales; Poaceae
Description: partial small subunit ribosomal RNA
Source: RNAcentral
GUGCCAACGACUGAAUAUGAGAAGAUUAGGGCUAAAAAUAUGAUGAGGAACAACCGAAUAUUCCAAUCACUUGGUAUCGCUGCAUUAGGUAUGAUGAGUCCAGACAAUGAGGUCAUUGAGGAGGAUGAAGUUGAUGAUAUUGUAGUGGAGAAGGAAGAUAAGGAAACCUGUCAGUCGAACAAGGAGAACUGUUCCAAAGUUAAGUUCCAUCAGAAAACUGGUUCUCGCCCCUACAUUUCCCAUGUGCAUGCUUUGAAAAAGGCUCGUAAGGGUGAAGAGUUGACUGCGUUUGAUCUAUUCAAGGAGUGCCACAAUGGCAAGAAGAUUGGUUUCUCUGAGCCAGUUAAGAAGGCAAUUUUA